UUCCAGACUCCUACGGGAGGCAGCAGUGGGAAUAUUGCACAAUGGGGGAAACCCUGAUGCAGCGACGCCGCGUGAGUGAAGAAGUAUUUCGGUAUGUAAAGCUCUAUCAGCAGGGAAGAAAAUGACGGUACCUGAUUAAGAAGCCCCGGCUAACUACGUGCCAGCAGCCGCGGUAAUACGUAGGGGGCGAGCGUUAUCCGGAUUUACUGGGUGUAAAGGGAGCGUAGACGGCCAUGCAAGCUCGGUGUGAAAGGUGCGGGCACAACCCGCAGACUGCACUGAGAACUGUAUGGCUGGAGUGCCGGAGGGGCAGGCGGAAUUCCUGGUGUAGCGGUGAAAUGCGUAGAUAUUAGGAGGAACACCAGUGGCGAAGGCGGCUUACUGGACUGUAACUGACGUUGAGGCUCGAAAGCGUGGGGAGCAAACAGGAUUAGAUACCCGUGUA
This 445-nucleotide ribosomal RNA is filed under the name uncultured bacterium. Its description in RNAcentral is "bacterial SSU rRNA". It matches the Rfam family "Bacterial small subunit ribosomal RNA", at positions 329 to 792 of the family's 1533-position model. The record is from RNAcentral.